CCAAGACACCGGCCGCCUCUUCUGUUCGUUUCCGUCGCUGCACGCGGCCGCGCGCCGUCAAGUUCGUCUCCGACAUCCGCGACCCCGUCGCCAAGAUCUCCGUCUCUGGCCGCCGCCCUUGCCAUGUUCUGCAAGCUGUCCCGGCGCCUCUUCGACCUGCGCUGCUGGUCGCGUGCUCCCAUGAACGCCACGGCAGCGAACUUGAGCCCGUGCGCUGCUCGUUUUCCUGGACGUCUGCGCUCCUCGCUGACAGGAAACCGGCGCUGCCUUCCUCGACCGCCAAGAGUUUCUCUGCAGCAGCCUCACCCCGCGAGCACAGUCCUCCAAAGCUCCAAGCUUUAGGCUAGCCCUUCCUCUGGUGCAAAACGUCCUAGGAGCCGCAGUCCAGUCAGCCGCCCCAUCAGCACUUCCUGGGUUCCGACUGUCUUUCUCUGCGGCUUGUUUUCCUCUCGCAUUUGCUUCUUCCCGGAUAGGAUCACGAAGAGGUGCGGUGAGAUACGACAAGUUCUCCGGAUGUUCCUCGGCAAGUUUUAACAGGCAAGCAUUUCCCUUAUAUUCCUGCCCCUGCAGAAGUCGCUCACCUAUUUUAUUUUGCCUUCUCCCUCAUGCUAUCCUUGAGUUGCAUUCUUGUCACGUGUCCCUUCCACUUGUUACCUCAAGCAGCCCAUAUUGCCACCACCAACCACCAACCUCCUACAGCUGUUGUUUGGUUAUCGGGUCUGCCUUGCGAGUCAUAGUGCAUGCUAGUGCUGUUUAUAUCGUGUUACCGUUAUCGCUAUCUUAUCGGGUUAUCUGUUGGGGAUCAUGACACAUGGUUAUAUCUGUUGAGGGAAUCAUGGUUACUUGUUAAUAGUUGUUAGCGGAGGCAUCGGUGGGUCAGCUGAUCGUUUUGUGACGGCUCACUUGUGUUUCCUAAAUAUCUUAGGACCCCGAGUUCUUGUUAUCUGUUCCGAGACUGAGCGCUCUAACCACACGUGGGUAUGUUUCUGGGUCUCCCCUCGACCACUGCCGGAAUCUACAGCUUUGUCCAGUGGCCACAACUAGUUUAUAUGUUUUACCAUUUGUUGUUGCGUGCAUGCCAGCUUGUUACUUAUUUACUUUGGGAAGCCCUGGGUGCCUUGUAUCCCUUGUUUCUGGUAUGCACGUAUAGGUUUGCGGCCUGAGCGUUUAUCGCAUGCUGAAGCGGGUCAUUCGCCCCUGUGUGUGUUUUGACCCUCGGAAGCCGUGCACGCAAUAGCUAGGUCCGCUUCGGAGAUUCGGCCGGACUUCGAUACGGGUUCAACUUAGUUAGGUGGCUUCCUAGACAUUGUUGUCGUGAAGGAGAGUGCGAGCCGUGAUAUCCACCUGUCGUAAGUGGAUCGAGCGGUGCGUGUGGGUACAUUUGGGCAACCCCUGCAGGGUGUACAUCUUAUCGAUAAGCCGUGUCCGCGGUUAUGGACGACUUGGAGCUGUAUGACUCGACCAUAGAAAACUUGCACGUGUUGUUUCAUUACUAAUAACUUGUGUAGUAAGAUAGAACAACUUAAAUAAUAAAUGGUUAAAACUUGUCAACAGUGUGAGUGCCCUUGUAAGUACUUCCUUGCGAGGGGGGAACGCAUCGGCUGUGUUAUGUUUGCAGAGUAUAGAACUGUUAGUUUAUGCGCUCUCUCACCCUCUCUGAUAGACGAAUGUUGUAGAGUGUCUCUAUAGGUUUUAGUGCUUGCGCGCUGCCGCUUAACCCCACCAUAUUGCCUAUGACGUUCCUCUUGCGUCCUCUAAGUCCCCUGCGUGCCUCAAGUACAAAGGACGACUGGUUGACGAAUGCUUAUACGUCUUGAAGUCUUGUUAAGUACGAACCCGUACUUAUUGUUGCUUCUACGGGACAUAACCGGGCAGGUAUGAAGAUAUGUUCGAUGAAGACGACGUUAGCAAGGUUACCUUCCGGCUUGGCCUGGGCAGGGUUAUGGACGCCAUCGUUUAUCUUCAGGACUCUUAGUCCAAUUUGUAUCUUGUCCGUACUCGGAUGUAUUUGAUCUUCUGUAUGAUUUGGAUCUUUGUAUUGUAUAUUUGUAUCUUGACUCGUUGGAGUCGUUGUUGUAAUAUAUGUUUCUUGUGGGCUCUAUUGUAAUCCUGUUGUAA
Molecule: non-coding RNA, 2118 nt
Organism: Lolium perenne
Lineage: Eukaryota; Viridiplantae; Streptophyta; Magnoliopsida; Poales; Poaceae
Source: RefSeq, a predicted model, not a curated record